This is a small nuclear RNA of Peromyscus leucopus (white-footed mouse), 107 nucleotides long. The record is from RefSeq and is a predicted model, not a curated record. Lineage: Eukaryota; Metazoa; Chordata; Mammalia; Rodentia; Cricetidae.
GUGCUCACUUCGGCAGUAUGUGUACUAAAAUUGAAACAAUACAGAGAAGAUUAGCAUGGUCCCUGUGCAAAGAUAACAUGCAAAUUCAUGAAACAUUCGUAUUUUUA